UGGGGAAUAUUGGACAAUGGGCGCAAGCCUGAUCCAGCCAUGCCGCGUGAGUGAUGAAGGCCUUAGGGUUGUAAAGCUCUUUCAGUAGGGACGAUAAUGACGGUACCUACAGAAUAAGCACCGGCUAACUUCGUGCCAGCAGCCGCGGUAAUACGAAGGGUGCAAGCGUUACUCGGAAUUACUGGGCGUAAAGCGUGCGUAGGUGGUUGUUUAAGUCUGUCGUGAAAGCCCUGGGCUCAACCUGGGAAUUGCGAUGGAAACUGGGCGACUAGAGUGUGGCAGAGGUAUGUGGAACUCCGAGUGUAGAGGUGAAAUUCGUAGAUAUUCGGAAGAACACCAGUGGCGAAGGCGACAUACUGGCUCAUUACUGACGCUGAGGCUCGAAAGCGUGGGGAGCAAACA
RNAcentral lists this ribosomal RNA (402 nucleotides) under uncultured bacterium. RNAcentral describes it as "bacterial SSU rRNA". It matches the Rfam family "Bacterial small subunit ribosomal RNA", at positions 355 to 774 of the family's 1533-position model. The record is from RNAcentral.